This 440-nucleotide ribosomal RNA is filed under the name uncultured bacterium. RNAcentral's name for it is "partial 16S ribosomal RNA". It matches the Rfam family "Bacterial small subunit ribosomal RNA", at positions 338 to 795 of the family's 1533-position model. The record is from RNAcentral.
CCUACGGGAGGCAGCAGUGGGGAAUAUUUCACAAUGGGGGAAACCCUGAUGCAGCGACGCCGCGUGAGGGAAGAAGUAUUUCGGUAUGUAAACUUCUAUCAGCAGGGAAGAAAAUGACGGUACCUGACUAAGAAGCCCCGGCUAACUACGUGCCAGCAGCCGCGGUAAUACGUAGGGGGCACGCGUUAUCCGGAUUUACUGGGUGUAAAGGGAGCGUAGACGGCAGCACAAGUCUGGAGUGAAAUCCCGGGGCUUAACCCCGGAACUGCUUAUGAAACUGUGCGGCUAGAGUGCAGGAGGGGUAAGCGGAAUUCCUGGUGUAGCGGUGAAAGGCGUAGAUAUUAGGAGGAAUACCGGUGGCGAAGGCGGCUGACUGGACUGUAACUGACGUUGAGGCUCGAAAGCGUGGGGAGCGAACAGGAUUAGAGACCCUGGUAGUC